UACGUAGGGGGCAAGCGUUGUCCGGAAUCAUUGGGCGUAAAGCGCGUGUAGGCGGCCCGGUAAGUCCGCUGUGAAAGUCGGGGGCUCAACCCUCGAAUGCCGGUGGAUACUGUCGGGCUAGAGUGCGGGAGAGGCGAGUGGAAUUCCUGGUGUAGCGGUGAAAUGCGUAGAUAUCAGGAGGAACACCCGUGGCGAAGGCGGCUCUCUGGGUCGGACCUGACGCUGAGGCGCGAAAGCGUGGGGAGCGAACGGG
This 253-nucleotide ribosomal RNA is filed under the name uncultured bacterium. RNAcentral's name for it is "partial 16S ribosomal RNA". It matches the Rfam family "Bacterial small subunit ribosomal RNA", at positions 524 to 776 of the family's 1533-position model. The record is from RNAcentral.